CCUACGGGAGGCAGCAGUGGGGAAUAUUGCACAAUGGGGGAAACCCUGAUGCAGCGACGCCGCGUGAGUGAAGAAGUAAUUCGUUAUGUAAAGCUCUAUCAGCAGGGAAGAAAAUGACGGUACCUGAGUAAGAAGCCCCGGCUAACUACGUGCCAGCAGCCGCGGUAAUACGUAGGGGGCAAGCGUUAUCCGGAUUUACUGGGUGUAAAGGGAGCGUAGACGGCAGUGCAAGUCUGGAGUGAAAGGCGGGGGCUCAACCCCCGGACUGCUCUGGAAACUGUACGGCUGGAGUGCAGGAGAGGUAAGUGGAAUUCCUAGUGUAGCGGUGAAAUGCUUAGAUAUCACGAAGAACUCCGAUUGCGAAGGCAGCUCACUGGGCUUUAACUGACGCUGAGGCUCGAAAGCGUGGGGAGCAAACAGGAUUAGAUACCCUUGUAGUC
This 440-nucleotide ribosomal RNA is filed under the name uncultured bacterium. RNAcentral's name for it is "partial 16S ribosomal RNA". It matches the Rfam family "Bacterial small subunit ribosomal RNA", at positions 338 to 795 of the family's 1533-position model. The record is from RNAcentral.